RNAcentral lists this ribosomal RNA (171 nucleotides) under Methylobacterium sp. 174MFSha1.1. RNAcentral's name for it is "23S rRNA. Bacterial LSU". It matches the Rfam family "Bacterial large subunit ribosomal RNA", at positions 2742 to 2925 of the family's 2925-position model. The record is from RNAcentral. Lineage: Bacteria; Pseudomonadati; Pseudomonadota; Alphaproteobacteria; Hyphomicrobiales; Methylobacteriaceae.
AGGGUAGCUAUGUCCGGUCGGGAUAACCGCUGAAGGCAUCUAAGCGGGAAACCCCCCUUGAAACGAGAACUCCCUCGAGAGCCGUGGAAGACGACCACGUGGAUAGGCUGGAUGUGCAAGCGCGGCAACGCGCUGAGCUGACCAGUACUAAUCGCUCGAUCGGCUUGAUCG